Molecule: ribosomal RNA, 253 nt
Filed under: uncultured bacterium
Lineage: Bacteria
Description: partial 16S ribosomal RNA
Rfam family: Bacterial small subunit ribosomal RNA
Source: RNAcentral
UACGUAGGUGACCAGCGUUGUCCGGAUUUACUGGGCGUAAAGAGCGCGCAGGCGGUCGUUCAAGUCGAGUGUGAAAGCCCCCGGCUCAACUGGGGAGGGUCACUCGAUACUGAUCGACUUGAAGGCAGGAGAGGGAAGCGGAAUUCCCGGUGUAGUGGUGAAAUGCGUAGAUAUCGGGAGGAACACCAGUGGCGAAGGCGGCUUCCUGGACUGUUACUGACGCUGAGGCGCGAAAGCGAGGGGAGCAAACGGG